GGUUAGAAGAGGAGGGAGGGUGCUGAAAAGAUCAUUACAAGCAGUUAUUGCCAGGAUAGCAACAUGGGUCUCUUGAUGGAAACAAAAAUUUGGGAGUAGUCUUCAAGUUUAGUUCAUUGGUCUUUGAAUUCUUCACAGUGCAGCACAGGAGCUAGACUUCCAGAUGCUCUCUGGGUCUGGAGCUCAAGUCUGGAUCACCAUAAAGAGUGUUGUGAGUCCUUGGGGGCCUUUGGACCCUCUCCCUUUCAAGGAGGAGGAUACAAAAAGGAUACAACAAUACUAAUCUAUAUCUUCACAACCAUUUGGACAAUGGAGCAAGGAAAGAAGGGAAAAAAGAUCCAACUCCAAAGCUCAAGAACCAUUGAAACUGUAAAGAAAAAGGCAAUCUUGUAUCUCUCUGCAAGAAGACAGGCAAUUCCCAAAUUAACUCAGAUAUAAUGUAGGAAGACUUCCACUCAUCCUAGAGGAGUUUUCUCCACCCACCAUAGAUACCCCCAAGAUAUCAGAAGAGAGGCAAAAUCCAGCUAGUUUUGCCAAUUUUAAGCAGGAAUUACUAUCUCUGCAGAGACAGUGACUUGCUUCAUCUGUGAAAUUGACUUCUUCAUCAGAACAGAAGCAUUUUUAAAAAUUAGGUCCCCCUAACUUUUAAACUGUAUAAAUGUCCCUUGCUACAUACAAAUGCUGCAGAGGGGUUGGAACUUCCCUACCCUAUCCAAAUAUCCAGGACCAACACACCAAAAGGAAAAUUCACACAGGUUUCUCCAUAACAAAAUUUGAUGAGGCAGAGACAUUUUUGCAGAAACUCUUGCUGCAAUUAAGUCAAACUUUUGUUUUAAUGCCAUGGAUUUCAAGGAACAUUCUCUAGGGGUUUUCCAUAAAAGGUUCUGAAAUCAUCUCUGUCCCAUUUCAUGGGAACUUUGUGGUUAAUGGGUAUUAUCCAUAUUUAGUCAUAGUGUCAGCAAAAGAUUUCCGAGGUAGAACAUUCUGGAUGCAGGCUCCACUUGUAUAAUUAGUAGGACUCAGCUCUCUCCUUGAGCUGAAUCUUAGUAUAUUUGUGUAUAUGAGUUUAUAUGUUUUAACUUUUAUGAUGGAAAGUUGCAAACAUAAAAGCAGAAAGUAUGGGGCACUUGGCUGACUCAGUGGGUUAAGCCCCUGCCUUUGGCUCAGGUCAUGAUCCUAGAGUCCUGGGAUCGAAUCCCACAUCA
Molecule: long non-coding RNA, 1205 nt
Organism: Neogale vison (American mink)
Lineage: Eukaryota; Metazoa; Chordata; Mammalia; Carnivora; Mustelidae
Exons: 4
Source: RefSeq, a predicted model, not a curated record